UACGUAGGGGGCGAGCGUUAAUCGGAAUUACUGGGCGUAAAGUGUGCGCAGGUGGCCGCGCAAGUCGAGUGUGAAAUCCCCGAGCUUAACUUGGGAAUUGCGCUCGAAACUACGUGGCUCGAGUGUGGCAGAGGAAGGUGGAAUUCCACGUGUAGCGGUGAAAUGCGUAGAGAUGUGGAGGAACACCGAUGGCGAAGGCAGCCUUCUGGGCCAACACUGACGCUCAUGCACGAAAGCGUGGGGAGCAAACAGG
Molecule: ribosomal RNA, 253 nt
Filed under: uncultured bacterium
Lineage: Bacteria
Description: partial 16S ribosomal RNA
Rfam family: Bacterial small subunit ribosomal RNA
Source: RNAcentral